Molecule: ribosomal RNA, 417 nt
Filed under: uncultured bacterium
Lineage: Bacteria
Description: bacterial SSU rRNA
Rfam family: Bacterial small subunit ribosomal RNA
Source: RNAcentral
UCGGGAAUAUUGCACAAUGGAGGAAACUCUGAUGCAGUGACGCCGCGUGCAGGAAGAAGGUUUUCGGAUUGUAAACUGCUUUAGACAGGGAAGAAAAAAGACAGUACCUGUAGAAUAAGCUCCGGCUAACUACGUGCCAGCAGCCGCGGUAAUACGUAGGGAGCAAGCGUUAUCCGGAUUUAUUGGGUGUAAAGGGUGCGUAGACGGGUAAGCAAGUUAGUUGUGAAAAUCCCUCGGCUUAACUGAGGAACUGCAACUAAAACUACUAAAUCUUGAGUGCGGGAGAGGAAAGUGGAAUUCCUAGUGUAGCGGUGAAAUGCGUAGAUAUUAGGAGGAACACCAGUGGCGAAGGCGACUUUCUGGACCGUAACUGACGUUGAGGCACGAAAGUGUGGGGAGCAAACAGGAUUAGAUACC